RNAcentral lists this long non-coding RNA (428 nucleotides) under Lotus japonicus. RNAcentral describes it as "long non-coding RNA (LJAP_LNC001896)". The record is from RNAcentral. Lineage: Eukaryota; Viridiplantae; Streptophyta; Magnoliopsida; Fabales; Fabaceae.
GGGAAUCACAAUCAGCCAAUCACUGGAUAAACGAAAGGGAGAAAGACUGAAAAAUUGCUCUUUGAACUGACAUGAAGCUCUAUUUGACUAUGCGCUUAUAAAUCUGUUGAUUGUUUUAUUUGUUGUCAUUGAAAAUAUGUUUGGACUGCUGAUUAGUCAUUGGGGUAGAUAUUAGUAACAGUGACUGCUGAUUCGUAUAGUUUUGGGUCACCAGAAUUUGAUGGUAUUUCAGUUGGUCAAGAGAAUUUGUUUACGAUUUAUUGGUCAUUUUAGACUUUUAGUAAGUGAUACUUGAUCAUCAUGAGAUAAAGGAUUAAUCAGUCUAACAGAGAUAUUUGUCCAAAAAAAAGAGUCCAGCAGAGAUAUUCUAACUUUUUUCUCCAAUCUGACUCUCUUAGGAGAAUUACUUUAUUGGUUCCCAUGGCAGG